GAAGGAUCAUUGUCGAAACCUGCAUAGCAGAACGACCCGUGAACAUGUACCAAACAAAUGGCUUUGCGUGAUUCGAUACAUAUGUGUUGAACCUCGUAAAGCAUUGUCGACUUGGGUUCAUUAUGGUUCUUUUAAGGCGUUGUGGACACUAAGUUGACAUAACAACCCCCCGGCACGGGACGUGCCAAGGAAAUAUAAAACUUAAAGGGCCCAUGCUCUAAAGUCCCAUUUAUGGUGUGCUUGUUGUAUGUGGCUUCUUUUGAAAUCUAUAACGACUCUCGGCAACGGAUAUCUCGGCUCACGCAUCGAUGAAGAACGUAGCAAAAUGCGAUACUUGGUGUGAAUUGCAGAAUCCCGUGAACCAUCGAGUUUUUGAACGCAAGUUGCGCUCGAAACCAUCCGGUUGAGGGCACGUCUGCCUGGGCGUCACGCAUCAUGUUGCUUCCACCUAACAUUCCUAUAAUGGGAUAUGAUGGGUAGGGGCGGAGAUUGGUCUCCCGUGCCUAUGUGCGGUUGGCCCAAAAUAGGAGUCUUCCCAAGGGAAACGCACAAACUGUGGUGGUUGAUAAUACAGUCGUCUUGUGUUGUGUAUGUUUAUCCUUUAAGGGAGAUUCUUUAUAAAACCUGAAUGUGUUGUCUUCGGAUAAUGCUUCGAUUGCGACCCCAGGUCAGGCGGGACUACCCGCUGAGUUUAAGCAUAUC
This 702-nucleotide ribosomal RNA is filed under the name Flaveria trinervia. RNAcentral describes it as "partial ribosomal RNA". The stretch from base 274 to 429 matches the Rfam family "5.8S ribosomal RNA". Lineage: Eukaryota; Viridiplantae; Streptophyta; Magnoliopsida; Asterales; Asteraceae. The record is from RNAcentral.